AACGAACGCUGGCGGCGCGCCUAAUACAUGCAAGUCGAGCGAGAAGACGUAGCAAUACGUUUGUAAAGCGGCGAACGGGUGAGGAAUACAUGGGUAACCUACCCUCGAGUGGGGAAUAACUAGCCGAAAGGUUAGCUAAUACCGCGUACGCUCCUUGGACUUCGGUUCAGGGAGGAAAGCGAUACCGUGGGUAUCGCGCUCUUGGAUGGGCUCAUGUCCUAUCAGCUUGUUGGUGAGGUAACGGCUCACCAAGGCUUCGACGGGUAGCUGGUCUGAGAGGACAAUCAGCCACACUGGCACUGCGACACGGGCCAGACUCCUACGGGAGGCAGCAGUAAGGAAUAUUGCGCAAUGGGCGAAAGCCUGACGCAGCGACGCCGCGUGGGGGGAUGAAGGUCUUCGGAUUGUAAACCCCUUUCGGGAGGGAAGAUGGAACGAGCAAUCGUUCGGACGGUACCUCCAGAAGCAGCCACGGCUAACUUCGUGCCAGCAGCCGCCGUAAC
This 503-nucleotide ribosomal RNA is filed under the name uncultured bacterium. Its description in RNAcentral is "bacterial SSU rRNA". It matches the Rfam family "Bacterial small subunit ribosomal RNA", at positions 29 to 524 of the family's 1533-position model. The record is from RNAcentral.